GAGCCCGUGGCUCAGUGGUAGAGCGUUCGACUCAAAUACCAAAGGUCGCGGGUUCG
Molecule: transfer RNA, 56 nt
Filed under: Schistocephalus solidus
Lineage: Eukaryota; Metazoa; Platyhelminthes; Cestoda; Diphyllobothriidea; Diphyllobothriidae
Rfam family: tRNA
About the family: Transfer RNA (tRNA) molecules are approximately 80 nucleotides in length.
Source: Rfam by way of RNAcentral